UGCAGGUGUACCCUGCUGCAGUCCAUUCAGCCUGUACUCUGCUAGACCCACCACUUCAAGAGUAGCCAGAUCCUUGCAUGCAGUGGAAUGGAAGAAGUAGGUCCAGAUCCUCACAUAUUCUUUAUGCCAAAUCCAUUCAAGUUGUCACUCUCCACAUGUGCUGCUCCAUAUUUUGUGGUCCACAUAUUCCAGAAGAAUUUUCAGAGAGAACCUAGUGCACUGCACGGAUGAAAUGGAGAGAGAUUCUGCAGAAGGAAUAAACAUGGAGAUCUUUAAGUCCCA
RNAcentral lists this long non-coding RNA (282 nucleotides) under Cyanistes caeruleus (blue tit). Its description in RNAcentral is "lncRNA (ENSCCEG00000016593.1)". The record is from RNAcentral. Lineage: Eukaryota; Metazoa; Chordata; Aves; Passeriformes; Paridae.